This 1702-nucleotide long non-coding RNA is filed under the name Homo sapiens (human). Its description in RNAcentral is "HSALNT0043647". The record is from RNAcentral. Lineage: Eukaryota; Metazoa; Chordata; Mammalia; Primates; Hominidae.
AGGGGAUCUCCCUUCCCUUUUUCAAUGGACUAGCACAGGACCUGCCCACAGAGGCCCUAACUCAGUGCUCUCUGAAUGAAUGGAUGAAUGGGUACAGGGAAUAUCACUGAGGCUCAGAGAGGUAAAAUUAAUUUGGCUGAAGUCAAACUGAACAAUGAGGGCACUGUGGCUCAAACUCACAUCACUGGAAUUCCAAGUAUAUGUACCUGACGUUACAUAAUAUUGUCUCUGUGGAAUGCUUUGAGGAAAGGAACCUAAGAUUUUGGAACUCUGAGACUAUGCUGAAUCUGCUAAAAUUUUGAGAUGCUCUCUGUUCUGGAGGUGACACGGGGUGACAGUGGUGCUCCAUAUUCCUGAAGACACCUGGAAAUAUUGUGGGACGUGCCCUGAGUUGACAUCAGGCAGGUCCUACCUUCCUGAUUGGCCCCUGUUGGUGCUUGAAGAGCCCACUGAAACAACAGACUGAGCAAAGACUUUUAAACGCUGCACGUGGAAUCUACCUCAAAGAAUAUCUAGUUCAAACUGGUCAUUUUGCAGAUGAGAAAACUGAGGUCCAGGACCAUGAAGAGUUAACAGAGGAUUAACACUAAGGCUCUGUCCCCUGAUUUCCAUCCCAGUGGUCUCUUUCCAGCACACAGGCUGUGCCACAGAUUUUAUAGGCAUCUGGAAUUUUGCUGGCAGGGUUACUUCUAAGAAAUCUUUCGGUGGAAUCUCUUUAAGUGGCCCCUGGAAUGUAAGCACUAUGGGCAGUCUGUAGUGACCCAGAGCUCCAAAACAGAGUUUCUAAACAGGCAUGGCAGCAAAUCCCAGCAACAUCAGGCAGAUGCUUUAGACAUUUAAGGAUCUGCAGAUACUGCAGAAUCCCUCAGUUGUGUGGUCAGCACAUUACAACUCACAUAACUGUAAAAUUUUGCUGCAAUAAAAAUUAUUUUUAUAAUAAAAAACAUACUGUUAUAAAAGUAUUACCACUGGUAAUAGCACCUGUUUUGACAUCACUUUAUAAAGACUUUUCCUGUAAUUAUUUCAUCUUGUCUUCACAAAACCUGUGAUGUCGUAUGAGCAUACCUAUUUCCAUAAAAGGAAACUGAGGCUCAAAGGGAUUAAGUGAUUUGUUUAAUGGUACUCAGUUAUUAGGCAGCAGAACAGGAACCUGAAUGCCAACUCCCCUGCUUCUAUACUUUGCUCCUACUAAUCACAAUCCCUCUUGAUAUGAGCUUUAAAAUGACUUUCUUUGCAAGUUUCAUGAGCAUGUUGAUAAACAAAGGUCUCUAGGAAGUCCAAAUGUUUUUUCGCUGACUACCGCCUGGCUUCUAGUUCUCUUUCAAUCUUUUAUUUUUAGUCUCCUUUGCAUUUAAGUUUGAGACAAUAAGAUCCUGAGGAGCUUGACUGUGGCCUGGGCCUGGGGAUACUUCAGGAUUGUGAACUCAGGGAAUCUGAGGCAGGAAUUAAAAGGUACAUGAACACAAAUAGGAACACAUCUUCUCAAGAACUUAGGCUUUUUUUUUUUUUUUGGAUAGGCCUCAGCCUCUUUAGUAGCUGGGACCACAGGUGCACCACCAUGCCCAGCUAUUUUUUUUUUUUAAUUUUUUGAGACAGGGUCUCCCUAUGUUGCCCAGGCUGGUCUUGAACUCCUAGGCUCAAGCAAUCCUCCCACCUCAGCUUCCCAAAGUGCUGGGAUUACAGGCAUGACUCACUAUACCUG